RNAcentral lists this long non-coding RNA (587 nucleotides) under Rattus norvegicus (Norway rat). Its description in RNAcentral is "long non-coding RNA NONRATT016554". The stretch from base 501 to 563 matches the Rfam family "tRNA". Lineage: Eukaryota; Metazoa; Chordata; Mammalia; Rodentia; Muridae. The record is from RNAcentral.
UCCCCAGCUCCAAAAAAAAAAGAACCAAAAAAAAAAAAAAAAGUAGCUGUGGGAUUCCAAUUCAGGACCUCACGUGCCCAGACAAGCAUAAAGGGUACAGGGGAAAAAACAACUCGGCUCUCACCACCGCCAAGGAAGAGAGUGGGUGCUCACAGGUGUGUACAGAGGAUAUGCUGGAGAAGCACGGAAGCACUUACAACAGACCUUACAAGCACACGAUGAAGGUGCCCAUGAGAAAAGAGCAAGAGGUUACUGGCUGAUAUUUAAGAAGAGAACUGGGGGCUGGAGUGAUCAGCAGCUAAGAGCACUGACUGUUCUUUCAGAGAAAGAAUGCCAUCACCCACAUGACGGCUCACAGUCACCGCUAACUCUACUGUCAGGGAUCCGUCACCUGUUUCUGGCCUCUGAAGGUACCAGGUACACACAUGGUGCACAGACAUGCAUGCAGGCAAAACACCAUACACACUAAAACAAACAAACAAAAAAAACCCAAUUGGGUUGGGGAUUUAGCUCAGUGGUAGAGCGCUUGCCUAGCAAGCGCAAGGUCCUGGGUUCAGUCCCCAGCUCCGAAAAAAAAAAAAAAAAAA